AUACAGAGGGUGCAAGCGUUAAUCAGAUUUACUGGGCGUAAAGCGCGCGUAGGUGGCUAAUUAAGUCAAAUGUGAAAUCCCCGAGCUUAACUUGGGAAUUGCAUUCGAUACUGGUUAGCUAGAGUAUGGGAGAGGAUGGUAGAAUUCCAGGUGUAGCGGUGAAAUGCGUAGAGAUCUGGAGGAAUACCGAUGGCGAAGGCAGCCAUCUGGCCUAAUACUGACACUGAGGUGCGAAAGCAUGGGGAGCAAACAGGAUUAGAUACCCUGGUAGUCCAUGCCGUAAACGAUGUCUACUAGCCGUUGGGGCCCUUGAGGCUUUAGUGGCGCAGCUAACGCGAUAAGUAGACCGCCUGGGGAGUACGGUCGCAAGACUAAAACUCAAAUGAAUUGACGGGG
This 396-nucleotide ribosomal RNA is filed under the name uncultured bacterium. RNAcentral's name for it is "partial 16S ribosomal RNA". It matches the Rfam family "Bacterial small subunit ribosomal RNA", at positions 523 to 918 of the family's 1533-position model. The record is from RNAcentral.